RNAcentral lists this ribosomal RNA (448 nucleotides) under uncultured bacterium. RNAcentral describes it as "bacterial SSU rRNA". It matches the Rfam family "Bacterial small subunit ribosomal RNA", at positions 12 to 507 of the family's 1533-position model. The record is from RNAcentral.
UUUGAUCCUGGCUCAGAACGAACGCUGGCGGCAGGCCUAACACAUGCAAGUCGAGCGAACCCUUCGGGGUUAGCGGCGGACGGGUUAGUAACGCGUGGGAAUAUACCCUUUGGUACGGAAUAGCCUCGGGAAACUGAGAGUAAUACCGUAUGUGCCCUUCGGGGAAAGAUUUAUCGCCAAAGGAUUAGCCCGCGUUGGAUUAGAUAGUUGGUGGGGUAAUGGCCUACCAAGUCUACGAUCCAUAGCUGGUUUGAGAGGAUGAUCAGCAACACUGGGACUGAGACACGGCCCAGACUCCUACGGGAGGCAGCAGUGGGGAAUCUUAGACAAUGGGCGCAAGCCUGAUCUAGCCAUGCCGCGUGGACGAUGAAGGCCUUAGGGUUGUAAAGUCCUUUCAGAUGGGAAGAUAAUGACGGUACCAUCAGAAGAAGCCCCGGCUAACUCCGUG